Daucus carota subsp. sativus is the source of this 914-nucleotide long non-coding RNA. RefSeq lists it as uncharacterized. NCBI's taxonomy places the organism in Eukaryota, Viridiplantae, Streptophyta, Magnoliopsida, Apiales, Apiaceae. The transcript has 6 exons. The record is from RefSeq and is a predicted model, not a curated record.
UCUGUUUCUCUUGCUUAACUUAAUUUGAUCUGUGGAACAUUUUAACAGUGAAUAAAGUUAAGAAUGCCACUACUGUCAAUCUAUUAAAUCGUCAUACAAUUGCAAAUACUAAUUCUCGAGAUAGCCCGCAGUCGGACAUUACUGUCCUGGUUCCUGAUUUGGACAGAAUAGGUGUUCGCCGUCCGGCCUGGUACCCUGAUGAAUCAAAUACCAGCCCGAAGAAUUUGUUGGAUUUUUUCAACAAAGUGGGGUAAAACAAUGCUUCAGAAAGUCAGUUUAAAGCAGGUGAUUGUUAUGGCACCAGCUGCGCAUCGACGUCAGGUACCAAGGACAGUCCGGGGAAAACCAGCAAUCCAGAUACAUGUAACAUGGAUAAUGGAGCUGAUGAUGAAACUAACACCGAGGCUGAGGAAGUAGAAGAGGCCGGAUGCGGACAGUACACAGCCCAUGACGAGAAUGAUACCAAAUCAGAGCUGCCUGAUUUCUGGAAAGGCUACAUGGAUCUUGGUCCACCAACAAAACUCUAUCCUAAAUGUAAAGGCUGUCAUGUGGAAUGAGGAACGGAAUAACAAAGGUGCCUGGUUGUUUACAAGGAAAAGUAGCUUUAAUUUUGUUGAUCCUGGAAGUCAGCUGCGCAUGAUCACUCUGUGAUCAAACUUGAUGUGGAGCUCAUAGUUGAAUCCUCAGUAAUUAGUUUUUCUUAAAUAUUCGUAUUUUCAAACUGUUCGCAGUGGAUGUUAGUUCACUUAUUUGUGUCUUUCCAUUAUUUAUUCAAUGCUUUGGAUCAAUGUUUUUGUCAUAAUUGAUGGUUUUGCGCUUCGAUGAAGUAUUCUGUUUUUGGCUACUUAUGCGAUUUAAAAACAAUGAUGCACAUGCUUGAAAAUCAAAUGAUCCUCCUGGUUUAAAUAAAUAAG